GUUUCUAUUACUAGAUUAUUUCAGACAAGUUUUCAAUUGGGGUUUAUCAUGGUUGGGCCCUUCUCAAGAGACGGACCCAAAAGACAAUAUGGUGCACAGUGGUGUAUCGCUUCGGCUGGGAGUCUGGUAGGACUCGACCAACCUUGGCAGAAAUCAGUAAUGAUCCAACCGCAGGUUCACCUACGGUUA
RNAcentral lists this unclassified non-coding RNA (189 nucleotides) under uncultured fungus. Its description in RNAcentral is "sequence contains ITS1". Lineage: Eukaryota; Fungi. The record is from RNAcentral.